AUGGAGGCAUAUUCCACACCUAAGCCACCUUUACAAGGGACAAAAUUUGACACCCUGGAGAGCGCACGUGACCACUACAACACCUACGCACGCAGGACUGGCUUUGCAAUUAGGUAGCAAUUCAAGAAAGAGAGGGUUGAUGGAACUAUAAGCAGGGUGCUACUAGUUUCUACAAAAUAUGGCAAACGACGCAAGGACAGGGAUGAGUUGCAAGAUGUGGAAAACCCAGCCAGCAUUGUCAAGAAGAGGAGAAAAAAGAAAGUUGUUAGGACUGAAUGUGAAGUGCACAUGUACCUAUCCCACGAUGAUGCAUGGUGGACUAUUGACCGUUUCGAGGACGGCCACAAUCACCCCCUAAUCAAAAAGCCGUCCCUAAAAAAAUUCUUAUCAUCACAUCGGUACAUUCCUAGGGAGGAGCAGGACUUCUUGAGGGUUCUGCACGGAUGCAACGUUGAGACUGCGAGGCAGAUGCAGCUGAUGUCAUGGUUCUACGGGAGCGCUACAGACGUACCCUACACGACACAAGACAUUGCUAAUCAACGAGCUAAGUUCCGCUUAGAGCACCGCCACGCGGACGUUGGGAGCACAAUUUCAUACUUCCAAGAUAUAAGGGCCAAAGAUUCAUAUUUCUACUGGAGAAUCAAACUUGAUGAUGAGAUGGAUAAAUAUGGACAGAUCGACCACGAACAUUUUCACUGGUUGUGGGAAAAUAGGAAAUGUUGGGCCCCGGUGUACUACAUGAAGCAUUUCUUUCCAUUCUUGCACACAACUGCAAGGAGCGAGGGAUUCAAUGCUGUGCUCAAGAAGUACGUGAACCCCAACAACUCAUUGAUCGAAUUCGCAACUCAAUACACUGCAAUCCAGGAGAAAGUAAUGGUGGCUGUGGCAAAAGAGCAAGUGGACACAAUUUACAAAGAGGCAGACAUGUAUUCAUUGAACCCAAUCGAGUUGCAGAUGCGAGGGAUAUACACACAAAAUCUGUUCUCCAAGUUCCAGGUAGAGAUGAAGCUAAAGACUGCUUACGGAUGCGACACUUUGCAAGAUGGAACCUUCAGGAUGUGGUCGCUCCGAGGCAUACUACCAAAGUAUGGGGAUAGGGACUACCAUGUGCAGGCGAACAAGGAUGAAGGGGUAUACUCAUGCACUUGCUGCAAGUUUGAUCGUGAUGGGCUAUUGUGCGCACACAUACUGCGUGUAAUGGAACAGAUUGGAGUCUACGAGAUACCGAGGAGGUAUAUCCUAGAUAGGUGGACAUGGGAUCCAGAGGAGGAUCUUGUUCAGCCUGAUUACCAACAGCCAACAGUUAAGAAGGGUAUGACAGAGGAAGGAAAAAAUAUCAUGAGAUAUACAUCUCUUCUGAAUGAUUUCAAGGAACAAGCAAAAGAUGCUUGCACUACUGAUGAAGGGAUGGCAUUGGCAAGGAAACACGUUAAUGCUUUCAGAGACGACAUGGAUGCGCUAAAAAAGAGGCAGAUAAAGAAAGCAAGAAAGGAAAAAGAUGAGGAAAAAGAAGCAGAAAUGUUUUCUUCACCACCACGGACUAGUGCCACUGAAGGUGUCCCAGUAGCGCAUCAAGGAAGCAUUCCUGUCACGCAUGUUUCUGGCAAUAUUUUUCAGUUCCAGGGCUCACAUGCCGAGGGAUCCCAAUCAUCAAACACAAGGGUGAUACUAGACCCACCAAAGUCUACUACGAAAGGGCGUCCAAGAGAGAAAAGAUUUCAGCACCCAUUUGACAUUGCAAAACCAAAAAAAGAUAGGAAAUGUAGAGUGUGCGGGUCGACAAAACAUGAUAAACGCAAAUGUACCUCACCCAUACCGCACUGA
Molecule: ribosomal RNA, 1824 nt
Filed under: Triticum aestivum (bread wheat)
Lineage: Eukaryota; Viridiplantae; Streptophyta; Magnoliopsida; Poales; Poaceae
Description: partial small subunit ribosomal RNA
Source: RNAcentral